This 87-nucleotide transfer RNA is filed under the name candidate division WOR-1 bacterium RIFOXYA12_FULL_52_29. RNAcentral's name for it is "tRNA-Ser". It matches the Rfam family "tRNA". From Rfam's summary of the family: Transfer RNA (tRNA) molecules are approximately 80 nucleotides in length. Their secondary structure includes four short double-helical elements and three loops (D, anti-codon, and T loops). Lineage: Bacteria; Bacillati. RNAcentral also lists the same sequence under 5 other names. The record is from RNAcentral.
GGAGGAGUGGCCGAGUGGUUGAAGGCGAUCGUCUCGAAAACGAUUAUACCUUAACGGGUAUCGGGGGUUCGAAUCCUCCCUCCUCCG